UUGAAUCAUCUUAACUUUCUCAGUAGUCUGUUGGACAAUCUCUGGUCCUAAGACCAUUCUUUCACCUGACUCAAACCAACACAACGGAGUUCUGCAUCUCCGACCAUACAAAGCCUCAAAAGGUGCCAUUCCAAUACUAGAAUGAUAACUAUUAUUGUAUGUGAACUCGAUCAACGGAAGAUGACUAUCCCAAGUUCCUCCUUGCUCAAGCACACAAACUCUCAACAAAUCCUCUAGCGACUGAAUUGUCCUCUCCGACUGAC
RNAcentral lists this long non-coding RNA (263 nucleotides) under Medicago truncatula (barrel medic). Its description in RNAcentral is "long non-coding RNA (MTRU_LNC004913)". The record is from RNAcentral. Lineage: Eukaryota; Viridiplantae; Streptophyta; Magnoliopsida; Fabales; Fabaceae.